Long non-coding RNA from Meleagris gallopavo (turkey), 829 nucleotides. RefSeq lists it as uncharacterized. Lineage: Eukaryota; Metazoa; Chordata; Aves; Galliformes; Phasianidae. The record is from RefSeq and is a predicted model, not a curated record.
ACUGCUGUGGAUAGAGUUCUAUCUCAUUUUGUGUAUCUACGAUAUCCCUGUCCUUGCUCUGACAAGGAUUUUCUUUACUUCCAGAUAAAAAGUAUUGAAAGGCACCUGAGAGAUGGAUCGUUACAGAAUACCUAAGCACCAGCAGCCCCAGGCUGUCUAGAUAACUUCAAUGAGAGAGGGGUCUGUACCAUUCCUUCGCACCUCCCUACCAGACAACUCUCAAGUUGGCCUCCACUCUGCAUGCUCACCCAUCCCAGCUUUGCAGUGUCAUGGACUGUGCCUCAGAGAUGCCGUUUCAGACCAGCAUUACUGUUGGCCAUAUGGAGUGGUGAAUACUUCACUUUGAGGAAAACAACCUAACUUAUUAAGUAGAAAGUAGCAAAGUCUCUUCUUCACCAUCUCAUCUCUUGUAAAGGUCAAGGAAAUGUUUAUGUUUCACUCUGCAUGUGACCAUCCGUUCUUUUUCUGGAAAUACAUAAAUCAUACUGAUUUUCACACACCACUUUUUUAGCUCUGAGGGAGUAACACUGUGGAGGAAGAAGCUAAGUAUGAGCUUACAAGUAAUUUUAGAUAAAGAAAAAAGGAUUGGUGAGGGCAGAGACGGAGAAAUACAGAUUUUAUUACAGCAGUAAGAAUAAUGUUGACCUUAUCACUUGACAGAACCUAGCCACCUCUACAUCCAAACAUAACUUCAUUGAUAAUAAAGGAUAUACUAAGUUAGGUGGAGCCUUUUAUGUUACAUAAACCCAUGAAGCAUAAAUUCAGCACAAACUGUUGUUUGAAUCAGGAGAGGGUCUUAUGAAAAACUUCACAGGUUAAAAAAAAAAAA